This 989-nucleotide small RNA is filed under the name Pongo abelii (Sumatran orangutan). RNAcentral describes it as "retained intron". Lineage: Eukaryota; Metazoa; Chordata; Mammalia; Primates; Hominidae. The record is from RNAcentral.
CAGAGGGAGAGCGGGGUGCUGCGGGAUAAAUACGAGAAGGCCCUGAAAGCCUACCAAGCGGAGGUGGACAAGCUCCGCGCGGCCAACGAGAAGUACGCACAGGAGGUGGCGGGCCUGAAGGACAAGGUUCAGCAGGCUACCAGCGAGAACAUGGGGCUCAUGGACAACUGGAAAUCCAAGCUGGACUCGCUGGCCUCGGACCACCAGAAGUCCCUGGAGGACCUCAAAGCCACCCUGAACUCGGGCCCAGGCGCCCAGCAGAAGGAGAUCGGCGAGCUGAAGGCAGUGAUGGAGGGCAUCAAGAUGGAGCACCAGCUGGAGCUGGGUAACUUGCAGGCCAAGCAUGACCUGGAGACUGCCAUGCACGUGAAGGAGAAGGAGGCCCUGCGGGAGAAGCUGCAGGAGGCCCAGGAGGAGCUGGCUGGGCUGCAGCGGCACUGGCGGGCCCAGCUGGAGGUGCAAGCCAGCCAGCACCGGCUGGAGCUGCAGGAGGCCCAGGACCAGCGCCGGGAUGCCGAGCUGCGUGUGCACGAGCUGGAAAAACUGGACGUGGAGUACCGGGGCCAGGCGCAGGCUAUCGAGUUCCUCAAGGAGCAGAUCUCGCUGGCCGAGAAGAAGAUGUUGGACUACGAGCGGCUGCAGCGGGCAGAAGCCCAGGGCAAACAGGAGGUCGAGAGGUUGCGGGAGAAGCUCCUGGUGGCUGAGAACAGACUCCAGGCGGUCGAAGCCCUGUGCUCCUCCCAGCACACUCACAUGAUUGAGUCGAAUGACAUUUCAGAGGAGACGAUCAGGAUGAAGGAAACUGUGGAGGGUGAGUGGCCACGAGGCCGGGCGGGACUCUGGGCACUGGGAAGAGGCUGGCUGGCUCUGCCUUCCUGCUGGGUCACAUUUUGGUUUGCAUCAUCUGCCAUUUGGUAAGAGUCACCUCCUGUGUGCUGUGAGCUAUGUACUCCUGCAAGGGAGGAGGCCAGUUUAUGGAGGGAUAGGCA